CACGUAGGGUGCGAGCGUUGUCCGGAAUUAUUGGGCGUAAAGAGCUCGUAGGCGGCGUGUCGCGUCGGCCGUGAAAACUUGCAGCUUAACUGUGGGCGUGCGGUCGAUACGGGCAUCACUGGAGUUCGGCAGGGGAGACUGGAAUUCCUGGUGUAGCGGUGAAAUGCGCAGAUAUCAGGAGGAACACCGGUGGCGAAGGCGGGUCUCUGGGCCGAUACUGACGCUGAGGAGCGAAAGCGUGGGGAGCGAACAGG
RNAcentral lists this ribosomal RNA (254 nucleotides) under uncultured bacterium. Its description in RNAcentral is "partial 16S ribosomal RNA". It matches the Rfam family "Bacterial small subunit ribosomal RNA", at positions 524 to 776 of the family's 1533-position model. The record is from RNAcentral.